RNAcentral lists this long non-coding RNA (399 nucleotides) under Vigna radiata. Its description in RNAcentral is "long non-coding RNA (VRAD_LNC015068)". The record is from RNAcentral. Lineage: Eukaryota; Viridiplantae; Streptophyta; Magnoliopsida; Fabales; Fabaceae.
UAUAAAAAAACUGUUGUAUGAUUAUUAUCUGUAAGGGAAUAAAUGGAGAGAUGAUAAAUUUUGACAGAGUGCAUGGUGUACAGUGAUGUUGGUUGAAUGGUUAAGCAUGGCGUGUGGGCGUGAAGAAGCAAAACCAUGAGAGACUGAGACUGAAACUGAAAAUGGUGUGAGAGUGGUGAGAGAGAGAAGAAGAGAAGAAAGAGCACGAGUGGCCAAAGGGGUCCAAUCAUAUGCCUCCUGUGUUGUCAUUUUCUUCAUUUUCUUAUUCCACUCUGCACCUUCUCAACAUAAAACACAGACACAGACAACUUCUCCCUCAGACACUGUCUCUGUCAUCAACAUCUUCUGUCCCUCCAACCCUUCCACGUACUCACAACACACCCAUUUCAAUUAAUAUAC